Molecule: ribosomal RNA, 305 nt
Filed under: uncultured bacterium
Lineage: Bacteria
Description: bacterial SSU rRNA
Rfam family: Bacterial small subunit ribosomal RNA
Source: RNAcentral
UCCCUCCGGGACGCAGCCGUCGGGAAUAUUGCUCAAUGGGGGAACCCCUGACGCCGCCCCUCCCCUUUUCUUAUGAAGGUUUUCGGAUUGUAAACUCCUUUUGUUAGAGAAGAUAAUGACGGUAUCUAACGAAUAAGCACCGGCUAACUCCGUGCCAGCAGCCGCGGUAAUACGGAGGGUGCAAGCGUUACUCGGAAUCACUGGGCGUAAAGAGCGCGUAGGCGGGAUAGCAAGUCAGAUGUGAAAUCCUAUGGCUUAACCAUAGAACUGCAUUUGCAACUGUUAUUCUAGAGUAUGGGAGAGGG